RNAcentral lists this non-coding RNA (23 nucleotides) under Cricetulus griseus (Chinese hamster). Lineage: Eukaryota; Metazoa; Chordata; Mammalia; Rodentia; Cricetidae. The record is from RNAcentral.
CAGGACCUGGCCGAGACUGUGGA